GAUAUUGCCAAUCACAUUUUUGUAGACACAGGCUCAGAGAAGUGACAUUACCUGCUAGAUGUCACACAGCCCAUCUGGGACCCCAGGGCUCAAGCCCCUGCCCUCUGGCCCUGAGUCCUGCCUCUGUCUGUGGACUCCCAGCUCUUGCUGUUGCUAGAGUGUGCUGCUCCUUUACUUGGCAUGUCCACAUUCCUGGGUUGUCCAGGAACGCACAUUCUUGGAGAGGAAGGGGAAUAGAUAUUUUAGCCACAUACAACACUCUGAGCUUGCCAGGCACCUAAUAGGGACACUCAAUAAAUAUUAAUUAAAGAAUGCAGCCACAUUGGCUUAUGUGCUGGCCAGAUCCUUUAAAGUGUCAAGAAUAUUCCUUGAGAGACUGAGUGUUAGGCUGGAAGGCUGUGUGGAGGCGGAGAGGACAGAAAAGUCCUGGAGUAAUGGAGUGCAUUCUCUUGGAAGAUGAAAAUAUCCACCCGCCCCAGGGGGCCCCUAUCUGUCACUGUCACCAGGAGAGAAGGAGGAAGGGAACAUAUGUCUGUUGAGUGCCUCUGGGACCUGUAUUUUUCUUGCUGGGGUGGGAUUUAUUCCGCUUCUCCCGUACUCCUGCAUCUCCAAGGCCAGUGGAGGACACCAGGGGACAGCUGGCUGAGAUCAAGGGUGAGUGCGAUUGGUGGGGUGUGGAGUGGGGUGGGCGGGAGAUGGAAUGGGUGUGCCCACCCUCUCCUAGCGUCAUGAGGGAUUUACUGCUCAUUGAGUAGGUGUUCCUUAGUGUCUCUGGCUUGACAGCAGAAGUCUACUUGGAUAGGCAGUUCUGGGCACGCACAGCCAACUGUCGGGGCCUCUCCCCUAGUCUGAGUGUUCAUGCUCACAGAGCUGGUGUCCCCUGGAAUCCAGGGACUCGGAAGAGGGGAAAACUAAGCUGGAAGUGGAGAGUGAGGCAGAGGCCUGGGUAGGGAACCCUUGGGGAGCUCCCCCCAGCCUGAGGGCUGCUACCCAGUAGACCAAUGUGCCAGGAGGAGGAAGGAUGUGGGGGCAAAUGGGGAUCUCCCAUUCCACCCAGAGCCUGUGACUACCCUCUCUUUGCACUGGGAGGUAUUGCAUGCAGAAAGCAUAAGCAAGGCAAGUGAGGCUCCUCUGGGAAAGCCAGAACCUAGACAUUGAUCAGGCUCCUGGGGCUUUUUCAAAUGAGCUCAUCCCUGCUUUCCUAGGCCUCUUUUGGCAUUGAAUGGUAUUUCCCUUUGGUUCUUUCAAAAGCAAGAUGUGUUUGUGUAAUUUUAAACAAGUGAUCAAUUUCAGAUUAACGUCAAGGAAUUUCUUCAUCGUCUCCAUCAUCAAAUUCUACUUAACAUGCUCUGCCCAUUCCAAGAAAAAAAGAGGAAUGAAUGUGAACUCUUUUUGUACAUACAGCCAUUUACUCAAAAAAUGCAGCCGGCAGAGAUUCCACAGCUGGGAAGCUGACUGGUUGCAGUAGAGAAGCUGGCCAAAAUCCACCAAGAUGGCGACAAGAGUGACCUCUGGUCAUCCUCACUGUUACACUCCCACCAGCGCCAUGACAGUUUGCAGAUUCCAGG
Molecule: long non-coding RNA, 1568 nt
Filed under: Homo sapiens (human)
Lineage: Eukaryota; Metazoa; Chordata; Mammalia; Primates; Hominidae
Description: HSALNT0251079
Source: RNAcentral